CACAAAUAUCGACUAGCUUCAGCGAUGGAUCGGUCGAUUCGCGUAUCGAUGAAAAACGCAGCUAGCUGCGUUAUUUACCACGAAUUGCAGACGCUUAGAGUGGUAAAAUUUUGAACGCAUAGCGCCGUUGGGUUUUCCCUUCGGCACGUCUGGUUCAGGGUUGUUAAUGAAUUACUACAGUGUGGCCAAUUAUAACACUGUUUGUCGAAU
RNAcentral lists this ribosomal RNA (210 nucleotides) under Mazamastrongylus dagestanica. RNAcentral describes it as "5.8S ribosomal RNA". The stretch from base 14 to 163 matches the Rfam family "5.8S ribosomal RNA". From Rfam's summary of the family: 5.8S ribosomal RNA (5.8S rRNA) is a component of the large subunit of the eukaryotic ribosome. It is transcribed by RNA polymerase I as part of the 45S precursor that also contains 18S and 28S rRNA. Functionally, it is thought that 5.8S rRNA may be involved in ribosome translocation. Lineage: Eukaryota; Metazoa; Nematoda; Chromadorea; Rhabditida; Trichostrongylidae. The record is from RNAcentral.